RNAcentral lists this ribosomal RNA (465 nucleotides) under uncultured bacterium. Its description in RNAcentral is "partial 16S ribosomal RNA". It matches the Rfam family "Bacterial small subunit ribosomal RNA", at positions 338 to 795 of the family's 1533-position model. The record is from RNAcentral.
CCUACGGGUAGCAGCAGUGGGGAAUAUUGCGCAAUGGGCGAAAGCCUGACGCAGCGACGCCGCGUGAGGGAUGAAGGUCUUCGGAUCGUAAACCUCUGUCAGCAGGGAAGAACGGUCACUGUGCUAAUCAGCAGUGAAUUGACGGUACCUGCAAAGGAAGCAUCGGCUAACUCCGUGCCAGCAGCCGCGGUAAUACGGAGGGUGCGUGCGUUAAUCGGAAUUACUGGGCGUAAAGCGCUCGUAGGCGGUAUGUCAAGUCAAGGGGGAAAUCCCCGCGCUCCACGUGGGAACUGCCUUUGAAACUGGCAAACUGGAGUGUGUGAGAGGAUAGUGGAAUGCCAGGUGUAGGAGUGAAAUCCGUAGAUAUCUGGAAGAACAUCAGUGGCGAAGGCGACUAUCUGGCACAUAACUGACGCUGAGGAGCGAAAGCGUGGGUAGCAAACAGGAUUAGAUACCCUAGUAGUC